GAUCUAGUUAUUUUCUAUUAUAUAUAUAUAUAUAUAUUUUAAUUUUAUAGCUAUUUUUUUAUCUAUUAUAUAUAUAUUUAUCUAUUUUCUAUAUAUUUUUUAAUUUUGUAGCAUUUUUUUUUUCGGGCUAGCUACGCCGACAGGAGGCCCAUGUGCCGUUGGGCCGCCCGUGGCACCGUGUUCAUUGGGCCGACCAUACCGCCGAGCCGAAAUCGUGCCCGGGCCGUGCCGUGUGCCGAGGGGAAGGCACGCGGGCCGACACGGCAUGGCUCGUUAAAGUAGCUGGGCCGUUCGGGUCGUGCCGUAGCCUGAUCGUACUAAGCCAGGCCUAUGCCGGGCCAGCCCGAGUGGCCCAUCUGGCCAUCUUUGCCCCCGACCACCACCAGAGGGAGGCGUCGAAUCUGUUGCUCAGAACGGGAUCGAGAGGGAGAUAGAGAGGAGGAAGGCAGCGGCGGCACCGACUGUAGGCUCUAGCAACCGGCAAAAUGAGAUGGUGUCGGCCGAAUCUGGCUCGGGUGAGGGCGGAUCUGGGCCGUUCGAUACUGACAAUGAUGGAGGCGGAGAGGAGAAAGGCGAUGGGGACGGUGGCAGCAUCGUAUUGACAGUGGAGGGCAGCGGGCUCCAGUGAUCGACAAAUCCCCGACAAGGUCGCCCUCCUUUGAUGAACAUGAAGGUAUCCACGAACAUGUCCACUCCUUUGUCUUCGCCAGGUGUGGGGUCCACGAACACUCCGAUGCCUUUCUCUCCUCCGAUCGAUGAUGCACACCGCCGGCUCAAGUGCGUGGCUGACUCAAGUGAAGGAGAGGAUGAUAGUUCCAUCGAUGGCAGGGUCGCAGACCACCUCCCACGCUCGUGUGCCUACUGCUUCACCACCUCGGCCACGACGUGUCCGUCCUCUCUAUCAGGGUUAACAAGACCUUCCCCUUUCUUUGAUUCGAAAGAGGAGAGGCCUCAAGAACUUCCUGUAUAAAGCUGCAGCUUUGCAGCUGCUACGAAAUCAGUUGGGGUUGCUGGGUGGAAACUCAAAUAUUGUUUCUGCUUGAUUUGCAUCAAGAACAGGAAGCCUUGGCUCAUAAGAGAUUAAGGUAAUGCUCUCACUAUAUACAAUUGGUCAAUGCUUUCUUUUUAUUUCCCUGGAUUAGAUUGCACUUACAUUCCAUGAGCUCAUAUUCUGUGUAGUAAGUGGGCUUCAACAUCCUUCCAUGUUUUAUUUCAAUAAUUAUAAAUUUCAUCUUCACUCAAUAAAUUAUUGAUUUGAUACUGCUAUUUUUCUUUGUGGCCAUUGAGCAAAUCAAAUAGUAUUCUUCUCAUGU
Molecule: long non-coding RNA, 1313 nt
Organism: Phragmites australis (common reed)
Lineage: Eukaryota; Viridiplantae; Streptophyta; Magnoliopsida; Poales; Poaceae
Exons: 2
Source: RefSeq, a predicted model, not a curated record